ACGAGUUCACACUCGUGGCACAUAGCUCAGUAACACGUGGCCAAGCUACCCUUCAGUCAGCAAUACCCUCGGGAAACUGAGGCUAAUAGCUGAUACGAAACAGACGCUGGAAUGCACUGUAUUCCAAAGACACCGCUGAAGGAUGCGGCUGCGGCCGAUUAGGUAGACGGUGGGGUAACGGCCCACCGUGCCAGUAAUCGGUACGGGUGAUGAGAGUCAGAGCCCGGAGACGGAAUCUGAGACAAGAUUCCGGGCCCUACGGGGCGCAGCAGGCGCGAAACCUUUACACUGCACGAAAGUGCGAUAGGGGAAUCCCAAGUGCGAGGGCAUAUUAGCCCUCGCUUUUGUUGACUCUAAGGCGGUCAACGAAUAAGAGCUGGGCAAGACCGGUGCCAGCCGCCGCGGUAAUACCGGCAGCUCAAGUGAUGUCCCAUAUUAUUGGGCCUAAAGCGUCCGUAGCUGGCCGCCCAAGUCCAUCGGGAAAUCCACCUGCCCAACAGGUGGGCGUCCGGUAGAAACUGGCCGGCUUGGAACCGGAAGGCUCAGAGAGUACGUCCGGGGUAGGAGUGAAAUCCCGUAAUCCCGGACGGACUACCGAUGGCGAAAGCACUCUGAGAAGACGGCUUCGACAGUGAGGGACGAAAGCUCGGGUCUCAAACCGGAUUAGAUACCCGGGUAGUCCGAGCCGUAAACAAUGCUCGUUAGGUGUGGCACCCACUACGAGUGGGUGCUGUGCCGCAGGGAAGCCGCUAAACGAGCCGCCUGGGAAGUACGUCCGCAAGGAUGAAACU
Molecule: ribosomal RNA, 791 nt
Filed under: Halobacteriaceae archaeon IMCC2586B
Lineage: Archaea; Methanobacteriati; Methanobacteriota; Halobacteria; Halobacteriales; Halobacteriaceae
Description: bacterial SSU rRNA
Rfam family: Archaeal small subunit ribosomal RNA
Source: RNAcentral